AUUAUUAUUAGUAUUAUUACCUUAGAUUAUCUAUUAACAGGCCAGGGAGUGCAGCGACAUGGCUGUCAAAUAUCUUCAUAUCAUUAAUGGCUCCUAUAGGGUGUGUGAUAAUAUUCGUUAUAGUACUUUUCAUUAUAAUCAUGUUAAUAAUAUCUUGUUACAGAACAGCUGUUAGAGCACCACCUGGAAAAAAUGCAGGAGGGGGAAGGUCCUUCAACUUAAGUGUUUGAGGUAGAGAAGAUAGUAGAUUGUGCGAUCAAAGAUAACGACCUCUAUUACUGAGUAAGAUAGACAGGAUAUCCUCCGAGUGAUGAUACCUGGGAACCUUCUAUACAUCUUACUUUAUGUGACAAACUUUUUGUUGAUUUUUGGGACAAAUGGUUGGAUGAAAUUUCGUUAGAAUAUGUUAUUACGAUCUGAUAUUUUGAUCCCUAUUAUUGAAGAAGGGUCCCCACAACAAACAAGUGGGUCUAUGAGAUAGAUAAAAUAGAAGGAUGCAAAAUAGAUAAUGAUAAUGUACUUUACAAGGUAAGAUGGACUACCCCAAUACCCUCUGAGUACACAACAGAUUGAGGGGAUUGGAGACCACAUACUGUAUCUGUGACUUAUUAAGUGGGUGGACACCAAAACACAAAGAUACAGUACUGUUAUAAUAUGUAGAUGAUUUACCUUUGUGUUUUGAAAAUAAGGGAAAGUGUAAGGAAGACACAGUAGGAUUACUGUGUUUUCUGGCUCAGACUGGCAACAAAGUCAGUAAAGAAAAAUUACAAGGCAAUUGAAAACCUAAAAAGAACUUUGACAGAGGCACCAACUUUAGCACUGCGAAAUUAUGAAAAACCAUUCCAGCCUAUGCACUAUUGCUGGAUAAGGUGGCAGAUCUAGUAUUGGAUCAUGAAUUGGGAAAUUGUAACUGACAUUUUAAAUAGAGUAUAAACAAAGCAUCUGUCAGCAGAGGCAAAAGGACAUGCGAAAGCAGAUGACAGUCAUGACAGUGAGUUAUGACAAAAAAGACCACAAGGGGCCAGUUGAUCUGCAGGUCCUAGCAACCAUGCAGGACCAAGCUCCUAAAGUGGAAAAAACAAAAUGGUCAAAAUUAGGAGCCACCAGAGAUGAGAAAGGACUCUGGAGAAAUGGCCUAACAUACUGUCUGCCUAAGGCAUUAUAUGCUAUGAUGGCUCACCUAACCCAUGGAGUUGCGCAUUCAUGUAAGAACGCAAUGGCUGCCACGGUUCAAAGGAUUUCCAGCUUUUGCUGCAAAAUGUUUUUUCUUGUGUUACCUGUUUACGUCAUAAUCCAGGCCAAGUAGUCAAAACUCCAAGACGACACUCACCUAAGCCAGACUACCCUUCCAAAGACUUCAAAUGUACUACAACCAGCUACCCAGAAUGGGGACAUUUGGAAUUGUUCCUUUUUGAUAAUGUAGAAAAUAUUUGCAAUCAUCAUGAUAUCCGUCUGCUCAACUAAUGACAUGAAAGGAACAAUUUUUGUUGACAAUGAAAAUUUUCUACGAGAAUCAAAUCAUUCUUGCUUCAAUCCACAAUUUAACUAUGGUGGCAUAUUCCAUAUCUCCAUAAGACGUACAUCAAAGUGGUUGCUAUCAGGAACUUGCUCCAAUUAUAAGGACGUUUAUAGCUGGUCUUGUGUUUACACGAAACAACUUUCUAUUGGCAUUAUAACAUCAGUAAAUAGUACUUGGGAUAACACUGAAGCCAAUACCAAAGCGGAGAUGGCAUAUUUUCCAACCUUUUACAAUAACACUGGAGGAUGGAAUAAACGGCUACCUUUCACCAAAAAGAACAUUACUAAACACUUGGAGUGGAACCUUAUGGGGAUUGAGUUUAUUAUGUUAUGUUUGGUAUCUUAGACUAAAGAGGGGAAAUUAGUUAUUUUUAGGCAAUUAAUUGGUUUGCGGUGGAUCGAGAAUUCUCCAGCAUGAGUUAUGGUCAAAUUCUGCUGGUCAAGAAUGAAUUUUUGGUUUUGAAGACGGUCUUAGUCCCUCUUCACGACAAAGGAGCUGCAAUAAAGUUAAUUGCAUUUAGGCACAAGCUUAGGGCUGUAGGUUACAUAGUUUAGUGUGGUCAGUAGAAUGACCAAAAGAGGGGAAAUGUUAAGGUUAUAUGGAUACAUAUAUAUUAAUUAAACUAUAUAGAGCAAUUUUAAUACUAUGUUAUUCUUUCAUUGUGUAAGUCAAUAUUUCUGAACUAGGCUUAAUCACAAAAUGACAUUCUAAAUGACAUUUUUGUAAAGUUAAGUAAAUAGUAAUGUUUGAAUUAACUAUUGAUUUAAGAUGUACUGCCAAAACUUGUAAUUAGGGAAUAAAUCAAAUCUGGUCUCAUGAUGAGUAGUCCUAAAAGAUAACAUGUAAUCAGGACGUGCUUCAAUCUGAUUGGUGAAAUUAUAAGACCACCCUAUGUCCUCAUUGUGUGGGAACAAUUAAUAUAUAAAGAUCUGCCUACCAAUCAGGUAGGACAGAACAGCUA
Molecule: long non-coding RNA, 2480 nt
Organism: Xenopus tropicalis (tropical clawed frog)
Lineage: Eukaryota; Metazoa; Chordata; Amphibia; Anura; Pipidae
Exons: 2
Source: RefSeq, a predicted model, not a curated record